This 503-nucleotide ribosomal RNA is filed under the name uncultured bacterium. RNAcentral's name for it is "partial 16S ribosomal RNA". It matches the Rfam family "Bacterial small subunit ribosomal RNA", at positions 30 to 523 of the family's 1533-position model. The record is from RNAcentral.
AUUGAACGCUGGCGGCAGGCUUAACACAUGCAAGUCGAGCGGGGUGAUGGUGCUUGCACUAUCACUUAGCGGCGGACGGGUGAGUAAUGCUUAGGAAUCUGCCUAUUAGUGGGGGACAACAUCUCGAAAGGGAUGCUAAUACCGCAUACGUCCUACGGGAGAAAGCAGGGGAUCACUUGUGACCUUGCGCUAAUAGAUGAGCCUAAGUCGGAUUAGGUAGUUGGUGGGGUAAAGGCCUACCAAGGCGACGAUCUGUAGCGGGUCUGAGAGGAUGAUCCGCCAGACUGGGACUGAGACACGGCCCAGACUCCUACGGGAGGCAGCAGUGGGGAAUAUUGGACAAGGGGGGGAACCCUGAUCCAGCCAUGCCGCGUGUGUGAAGAAGGCCUUAUGGUUGUAAAGCACUUUAAGCGAGGAGGAGGCUCUUUUGGUUAACACCCAAGAUGAGUGGACGUUACUCGCAGAAUAAGCACCGGCUAACUCUGUGCCAGCCGCCGCAGUAA